AAAAUGGGUCCAACGACUCCCAAAACCUACCGUGCUCCCCAUGCGGAAAGCAGUUAGCCCUCGCUGGCAAAUGGAAUCUAAGAGAACUCGCGCCCCGGCGCAGAAUCAUUAAAUCA
Molecule: unclassified non-coding RNA, 116 nt
Filed under: uncultured fungus
Lineage: Eukaryota; Fungi
Description: sequence contains ITS1
Source: RNAcentral